This 172-nucleotide unclassified non-coding RNA is filed under the name rhizosphere metagenome. Its description in RNAcentral is "partial ribosomal RNA internal transcribed spacer region". The record is from RNAcentral.
GAGUUCAUGCCCGAAAGGGUAGACCUCCACCCUUGUGUAUUAUUACUUUGUUGCUCUGGCGAGCUGCCUUCGGGCCUUGUAUUCUCGCCAGAGAAUAUCAAAACUCUUUUUAUUAAUGUCGUCUGAGUACUAUAUAAUAGUUAGAACUUUCAACAACGGAUCUCUUGGUUCU